AGUAGAUGGGUCUCUACAUGGGUCCAAUCUGCUGGUUUCCCUCUUCUUCUCCUCCCCAUUUAUCUCCCUUAUUAUCUCUUCAAAUGCAAUGAGAGAAGACCCUUUGAUCGCUUCACUCCAAGAAUAUUAAUCUUGUCAAUUUUGAUAGGACUCAUGUUAGGCCUAAAUAACCUUCUCUUCUCAUGGGGGAAUUCCUAUCUCCCGGUUUCAACCUCAUCUCUGCUUCUAUCAUCCCAACUCAUAUUCAAUCUCAUUCUCUCAGUCAUCAUCGUAAAACAAAAAAUCACCUUCCAAAAUCUCAACUGCGUAAUCCUUCUAACUCUAAGCUCAGUCCUUCUAGCCUUAGGUUCAAGCCACGACAGGCCUCAAGGCUUAACCCCAACCAAAUACUUCAUAGGAUUCUUCUCCACAGUAGGAGCAGGCUUGUUAUUUGCCCUGUACUUACCAGUGAUGGAAAGGAUAUACAAGAAUGUUCACUGCUACGGGAUGGUGAUGGAAAUGCAGCUAGUGAUGGAAAUUGCAGCCACCGCACUAGCCACCGCUGGGAUGGCAACAGAUGGAGGAUUCAGAGAGAUGAAAAGAGAAAGCAAGAACGAAUUCGAUAAAGGAGUGAAGUGGUAUUGGAUGACAGUGAUAGGGAACGUAGUAACAUGGCAGUUGUGCUUUAUGGGGACGGCGGGGAUGGUCUUUCUGACGUCGUCGCUGACCGGAGGGAUAUGCAUGACGGCGCUGCUGGGCAUGAACGUGGUAGGAGGAGUAUUGGUGUAUGGAGAUGAGUUUGGUGGAGUGAAGGUGGUGUCCACUUUGCUUUGUGUGUGG
This 819-nucleotide unclassified non-coding RNA is filed under the name Hevea brasiliensis (rubber tree). The record is from RNAcentral. Lineage: Eukaryota; Viridiplantae; Streptophyta; Magnoliopsida; Malpighiales; Euphorbiaceae.